This 460-nucleotide ribosomal RNA is filed under the name uncultured bacterium. Its description in RNAcentral is "partial 16S ribosomal RNA". It matches the Rfam family "Bacterial small subunit ribosomal RNA", at positions 338 to 795 of the family's 1533-position model. The record is from RNAcentral.
CCUACGGGUGGCAGCAGUGAGGAAUAUUGGUCAAUGGACGCGAGUCUGAACCAGCCAAGUCGCGUGAAGGAAGACGGCCCUAUGGGUUGUAAACUGCUUUUGUAUGGGGGUAAAAGGUGCCACGUGUAGGAGUUUGUAAGUACCAUAUGAAUAAGGAUCGGCUAACUCCGUGCCAGCAGCCGCGGUAAUACGGAGGAUUCAAGCGUUAUCCGGAUUUAUUGGGUUUAAAGGGUGCGUAGGUGGUCUGUUAAGUUAGUUGUGAAAGUUCGAGGCUCAACCGCGAAAUUGCCUUUGAAACUGGUAGGCUUGAGUGUAGUAGCGGUAGGCGGAAUGCGUGGUGUAGCGGUGAAAUGCUUAGAGAUCACGCAGAACACCGAUUGCGAAGGCAGCUUACCGGACUGCUACUGACGCUGAGGCACGAAAGCGUGGGGAUCAAACAGGAUUAGAUACCCGAGUAGUC